GAUGAAGAACGUAGUGAAAUGCGAUAAGUAGUGUGAAUUGCAGAAUUCAGUGAAUCAUCGAAUCUUUGAACGCACAUUGCGCCCUUUGGUAUUCCAAAGGGCAUGCCUGUUCGAGCGUCAUUUGUACCCUCAAGCUUUGCUUGGUGUUGGGCGUCUUGUCUCUAGCUUUGCUGGAGACUCGCCUUAAAGUAAUUGGCAGCCGGCCUACUGGUUUCGGAGCGCAGCACAAGUCGCACUCUCUAUCAGCAAAGGUCUAGCAUCCAUUAAGCCUUUUUUUCAACUUUUGACCUCGGAUCAGGUAGGGAUACCCGCUGAACUUAUGCAUAUCAAUAAGCGGAGGA
Molecule: unclassified non-coding RNA, 341 nt
Filed under: soil metagenome
Description: partial contains 5.8S ribosomal RNA, internal transcribed spacer 2, and large subunit ribosomal RNA
Rfam family: 5.8S ribosomal RNA (bases 1-120)
Source: RNAcentral